GGCUUUGUAGUGUAGUGGUUAUCACUCAAGAUUCUGAUCGUAGCUCGCCCGGAUUCGAACUGGGAGUUUCUUACGUAAGCAUUCUUGUAACCCCGGUUCGAAUCCGGGCAAGGCCU
This 116-nucleotide transfer RNA is filed under the name Rhizoctonia solani 123E. It matches the Rfam family "tRNA". Rfam says of the family: Transfer RNA (tRNA) molecules are approximately 80 nucleotides in length. Their secondary structure includes four short double-helical elements and three loops (D, anti-codon, and T loops). Lineage: Eukaryota; Fungi; Basidiomycota; Agaricomycetes; Cantharellales; Ceratobasidiaceae. The record is from Rfam by way of RNAcentral.